GUAUCCAAGUAAUAACUGAGAUCUGGCACUCUGCUCAUAUCCGCUUGAUAUUUUCCUUCUCUACGAUCAUGCAUCAAACGUUCUUUUCUAUUUCAGCCGUCACUCAACGAAGUUCCUCAGAAUUGUCGUCAGAGUGAAAAAAAUUUCUGGAGACACGGUAUACCUCAGGACCCUUGGAACAAGAAGCUUAUCAAUGACAUCGAGUGGGAAACUGGAAUGAAAUGGAUUUUUUGCGCAACUAUUUAGGAUUCUUUAAGUAAAAGGUGAAAAGAAUUUUUAUGUUUCAAUAAUAGUUUGUGUCCCUGGUUGAAAAAUAAAAAAAUAUACAACUGUAAUUAAA
This is a long non-coding RNA of Daphnia magna, 340 nucleotides long. RefSeq lists it as uncharacterized. The record is from RefSeq and is a predicted model, not a curated record. The transcript is spliced from 3 exons. NCBI's taxonomy places the organism in Eukaryota, Metazoa, Arthropoda, Branchiopoda, Diplostraca, Daphniidae.